GCGGGCAGAACUUGGGUGGCUGGUGGAAAGCGCCCACAUGGCAGUAGGGCUCAGGUGGCUUUUGGCAAAAAGAUUUAUCAUAACACAAGAUGAGAGUAGUGGCAAGCUAGUUAAACCCUCAUGUAUGCAAACAGUGUGCUGAAAACUAAACGUCAAAUGUGUCCACUUAUGCAAACAGUUAUUUCUAAUUAUAUAUGUGUGUACCUCUUCUGGACAUAGUGAAAUGGCAGCGACACUCGGGAAAAUGUUUCAGAAUCCAGGGAAUCAGUUAUUAGGAACUUUCAGAUAUAGGCAACAAGAAACUUAACUCAAAUUACUUUUAAAAAUUCAUUGUCUAGAAAGACUGCAAAAGAUACUUCUGAGAUUUUAGAAUUGAGUGAAGGAAGAGAGUAAAGAGAAGUAGAGAGGGAAGGGAGUGAAUACAAAAGGACAGGAGGAGGAGAGGGGGAGUGUGUGGAGAGAGAGGGAGGAAGUAAGUAGAGGGCAGAGGAAAGGGUCCCUGAAGGGAGAAGAGAGAGUGAAGAAGCAGGGCAGCACAGGCAAGAGCGGCAUAGAUGUGGGGUCUGCAAGCUUAGAGGCUCUGGAUGAAGGAUUCUCCCUUCAUCUUCUUCUGUCUCAUCCAGAUUCUCCCUUGUCUAGGACAUGGGGUAUCCUGUGCUUCCGGGGUGCUACAGAAAGGACUUCACCUAGUAGAGACAUAUGCCCACUGAUGGAUAAUCCAGGUUGCCUGUGGAUGAAGUGCAAUGCUCUGCCAUGUCCUUCAGCAUGAGGAAUGGAAAAAAGUCUCAAUUUCUGCAGAGUAUACAUUGGACAGGGAAGUGCAUGUGGCCUUGCAAACUGAAGAAUUCAGCUGCUGAAAUCUGUUCCAAGAAGUAGAGACUGCAUUUGGAGGGUGUGGCUUGCGGGUUUCACUUACUGUUGAAAUAGAGGAUGACUUCCAAAAAACUGACAGGAGCACAGAGCCUGUGUCAUCUCCAUUCCCAGUGAUUUCUCUUUGAUUGAUGUGCCAUUAAUGCUUUAAUUGGCAACAGGUGCGGAUGAUUGCUGUUUCCUAUGCUGAGAAAUGUGAAAUUGAACAUAAGGUUCUGAUAAAUUAAUAAACUCCUCUGC
Molecule: non-coding RNA, 1110 nt
Organism: Cricetulus griseus (Chinese hamster)
Lineage: Eukaryota; Metazoa; Chordata; Mammalia; Rodentia; Cricetidae
Source: RefSeq, a predicted model, not a curated record